RNAcentral lists this unclassified non-coding RNA (1509 nucleotides) under Leishmania donovani. RNAcentral describes it as "gene:LdHU3.36.9190(CDS-product:hypothetical_prote in_conserved)". The record is from RNAcentral. Lineage: Eukaryota; Euglenozoa; Kinetoplastea; Trypanosomatida; Trypanosomatidae.
CUGAUAGUUUGUCCUUCUUUAUUUCCUACAGCUAUAUAUAUAUAUAUAUACCCCACACACUCACGUGUACAGGUGUAGCAACUGCUUUUAUAGGACAGUUGUGCCGAUAGACACGUCAUCGCACAUCCUACUAGGUAUCGCUUCUUCUUUCUUCCCUCCUUUUUGCGAAUGCUCCAAUCGGCUGUUUUUUCUCAGCGCACACGAGCUAUAAAAACUAGUAGCAAGGGGAAACGCGCGUUUCGUUUGAGCCGUUGCUGCCCUAUCUAGCGUGAUCGUAGAGCAGUGCGUCAGCGUCAACAACUCUCUCCUUCCUCCCCUGUUUUCCUUUCUUUUGCGUUGUCUCUCUUUCUCUGCUUCCAUUGUACUGUGUGCACGGUAAAAGAUAUAUGCAUAUAUUUAACACACACACACCUACAUAUAUAUAUACGAACAAUUGUUUUUUUUUUUGGCGUACAUAGGACCUGCCCAUCUCCAGUAGACUCAGUGUGUGCCCGCGUUUCGUACUGCGCAUACCUCGUCCCUCCAUCCCCUAGUCGUUUUUCCUUUCGAUCUCUUUAGCGCGCGCCCCGUUGACCCUCUCGGCACAAUGUCAGGCGGCAGCGGAGCUCAGGGUCACUUCAUGAUUGGCAAGGGCAAUGGCCCCACAUCGUUCAACUGGCACGGGUCGGUGCCGACGGUCAUGGUAGACAACUGCUUCGAGCCCAACUUCCGCCAAUUCGACUUCUUCUUGGAGAACAACGAGGUGCCGAACGCCGGCUUGGUCGAGCGUGUGUUUAAGCCGGAGGAUGGCGAGUCGCACUGGAACCUGCGCACCAUCAUGAACACGAACGCCCGCUGCACCCCGGUGCUCGUUACGAGCCUCUUUGGUGCCACCUUCGUGAACUUCCUCUACACCCGCCUCCUGAACAAAACCGGCACGUCCGUCCGCUGGUCCUUCUGGACGUGCUUUGCUGCAAUGCUGGUGUGGAAUAAUUUCACCAAGUUUGUUGCCCGCGAGCGGUACUUCCAGCGCGACUUCCAGCGCAACCAGCUGUACUCGCACGAUGAGCUCCGUCAUCAGCGCGACCAGCAGCGUGUUCGUGAGGCACUGUACGAGAAAAACUUUGUGACCAACCCAGUAGCAGAGUAUCGCAUCAAGAUGUGGCAGGUGGCGGACCGGUUUGCGUAACGCUGCUACCGUUACGAAGCGCUGCGCUGAACUCCCUGAGCGCUCAUCCGCAUCUCUGCGACGAUGCGCGCGUGGCUAGUUAUGCCCCCCUCUUCAUGUCUUACUGUAUUGCUCCCUUUUGUGGAACGAUGACGUUUCUUUCCAAGAGUACAGACAAAAAAAUUUCGUUUUUUUUUUCGAAAGCAAGGCGCAUGCCAAAGCCAGAACUUGUAGUGAUGUGCUUCGACGCUGCCCCUCAGGCCCCCCGCUGUUCCCGCCCCUUUACUCCCUUCCUCACCUGUGCUUCUGCAGCCGCGAAACCUGGGAAGACAGAAGAGGUAGAAAAGCAUGUGUAGCGAUCA